This 447-nucleotide ribosomal RNA is filed under the name Triticum aestivum (bread wheat). Its description in RNAcentral is "partial small subunit ribosomal RNA". Lineage: Eukaryota; Viridiplantae; Streptophyta; Magnoliopsida; Poales; Poaceae. The record is from RNAcentral.
AUGAGGAGGCAAUGCCGUAAAGGAAUCAAUGGCCAACAUCAUGGCAAUAAGGAAGGGGGCGGCCAUGGAAAGGAAGAACUUGAAGGCCAAAUAAAUGGAGGAGAGGAGGGAGACCGAAGAGAGGAUAAAGACGACCGAGGAGAGGAGGGAGGCGAUCAAGGAAAGGAGAGCAACAUUCGAGGAGAAGAGGUUGAGCAGAGGAAGGUAGCCUACGAAGAAAGAAUCAAGAGCAUGCAAAAUGAGCAAGAGCUCAUGUUUAUGGACCUAAGUACCCUCGAUGAGAAGGCCAAGACAUACUUGGAGCUUUGCUGUGAUCAAGUGUUGAUGAUGAGGUCUAUGAGAGGCUUCAUGGGAGGGUGUAGAGGCAUGGGUGGCAUGGGAGGAGGCAUGAGUGACAUGGGUGGCAUAGGUGGCAAUGUAAACAAACAAUGGCGCCAAUGGAGAUAA